Molecule: long non-coding RNA, 306 nt
Organism: Lolium perenne
Lineage: Eukaryota; Viridiplantae; Streptophyta; Magnoliopsida; Poales; Poaceae
Source: RefSeq, a predicted model, not a curated record
GGUGUCCCUUCUUCUUGUCCUCUAUGACCUUGGGUUGCAAGGAGCCAACCCGGGGAGGACUCGAGGCUCAGUGGCGUUCCUUACGGCCGUCCGGGAUCCCCUCUCCUUCUUCUUUUAAUCCAUCUGGAGAUGAGAUCCACAUCUAAUUUUAUAGAAAUCACGGUUCGAGCUGCUCUGGAAAGGUCUCAACUCAGCUGCGCUUCUUCCUUGCUCAGGCGUUUGUUGAUUUCUCUGAAUAUUGGUUGGACAUUGCCCAUGUAGCACUCACCCAAGUGUGUACUAUGCUAAUAUCUACCACGGAAUAAC